UGUAUACAAAACGUUUGGCUUUGAAAGAAUAAAAAUGCUCCGUUAUGCUUUAUUACAUAAAAAACUACAGCUUCUAUAUUCUAUUUUCUACAAAGCGAUUUGACUUAAGAAAUUAGAAAGAUAAUAAUGACUGCAAAUUCUAUUGAACGAUCUUUUUUCACUGCUAUGACAGUGCCCUAGCAUUGGGUUGCAUAAAGGGAGAGAAAAUUCCUUGCAGCGAGUGAAAAUUGUCGCAAAAGGUAUAAUGUAUUAAUCGAACCUCCAAUGUUUCUUACACUGUUUACAUCUAUACGAUUCCGUGGAGGCUUUUUCAAUAUUUGCGUGAAAUUUUCACCCCUUACCAACCAAUAUUGCAAUGUAUCUUAGCAUUAUACUGCUCAUUAUAAUAAAGGUAUUUUUUUAUAGUAAAUCUCAACGUAACUCAACCUACCAUAUCAAAUUUCAACUUGAAACAUUUUUUAGAUUUUGUGUUAGAAGAAACGAUGUCUAAAAAAAUUCAUUUCCUUUCAAGUCUUUAGAUUUGUUUCCUUUCUGGAGUUUAGAAUUUUUUGAGACAAGUAUUUCAAACUUUACAACUACUCGUUAGCCAUCCUAUGCUGGUUACUAGCUUGUAUACUUAAGAAUUUGCACACUUUUGUAUAGCUUGUAUAAAUGCACACUUUUGGAUUAUUUGUUAUCUACCAAACUACCAAUUUUAAGGCUUGGUUCUUUUCUUUUCUAGGCUUGGUUCUUGACAUCACCAUAUUUUUGCCUCGUGGAGUUUUAGUAGCUUUUUCAAGUUUUUCUAUCAGUCUAAGUAUUUGAAGUCUUGUUUUUCUAACUAAUUCAUUUUUAGCUUUCCACCUCUAAAAGGAAUGGUUCUUAGAAUUCAAGACUGAAAAUCUGUUGCACAAACUAAAAAAUCCGGAUAGAGCUCAUGGUUGUUUCACUGGUUUGUUGGAAUGGUUUAAAGAUUGAAAGGUUUUGACAACGGAACUUCCACAAAGUGAGCCAGUUUUAAAGAUUGUGGAAUGCCCCAGUUGCUACUGAAGAACGUCACUUUUAACUUGACAAUCUAUUGAAUGUUACACACUUACACCUCAUGUGGAACACUGAUGACUAGCCUCAGGCGAAAUAUAGAGCGUUGCACAAGAUAAACCGAUCAAAGAGAGCACAACAUCCCUACACUUAUUGACGGGUGGGGCUCAAAACUUAUAAAUUUGUGACAAAGGAACAUCGAUCAUGCAUCAAAAUUUUCUAUGUGAGUUCUGGAAAAAUUAUUGCUAGGUGCUUUUCCUCGUGAAUCUCGUUUCGUCUGUCCAUUUUCUGUAUAACUGAUAGUCUUAUUUUUAUUUUUUAGGUUUGGUAUUUUGAAGUUUUUUGAAGGAAUUCUUUCUCCAAAAGAAUUAUUUUUCACUUCUAAGCUAAUUUUUUUCUAAAAGAUUUGUUAGGUUGUAGAAUAUCUAGGUUGUUACUGAAGAAGAUUACUUGUAACUUCAUUAUCAAGUGAGUCUUAUUUUUCUUUUUAUACUUUCAUUUUUUUUCUGAUUGAAUUUGUUAUGCAUAUAAUGCAUAAACUGUAAGUUUUGGAUUAUGUAUGAAUACAAAUAAGCAUAUAAAUUAAGAAUGAUGAUCGGUGUAGGCGUAUUUAUUUUUAGAUAAGUUAUUUUGCAAGGCAUUUUUUUAAACCAACCUUGAUAUAAAAAAGUUUAAAUAGAUUAAUGAAUUACCUAGUAACUAAAUCAUAUUUCUAAUAUUAAAACAAUGAAAUUAGAUUUAUACUUUUUUCAUAUGCUUUUUCCUAUGUUUGAAGAAAUCGUAUGUAUUUUUCUUUGAAUUCCAGUUGAACUUAAACCACUGGCACCUUGCAAGAAAUAUUGAUGACCAAUUUCAGACGACAGAAAGGUGAGCUUUAGUCAAUGUCAUCCGCUGAUUCAUUUACAAUGUUGUUUCUUCCCUAUUAUCCUUAGAACUGUGUAACACGUUAUUCAAGAAACAAACUGCAAUUGUAACAAGAUAAAACAGAAGAACACGCAUUUUCUUGUAAAUUUUUUUCUAGUUACUUUGCUAUCAUGUAAAUGUAUAAGGUCUUUAAGAUAAUUCCUUUUAAAGAAAGCUAAAUAUUUCUUUAUCCAUGUUUGAUCAUCAGAAGUUUGAUGCCUUUGUCUAUUAUUUCAUAAUAUCUGAAAAUUGUUUAUUUUUAAGCUUUUAUUCGUUCUAAAUGUUUAAUAUUUUAUUUUUUUUAUUUUCAGGUUGGAUAGUGUAUUUUACUAUCUGCAGUGUUUGGGCUUGAUGUUUUCUUUUUAUUACUUUUUUAGAUUUAACUUUAUUUAGUCUAUUUUAGCAUCUCUUGUAGAAAAGAUACACGAUGAAAUGCAAGCAUUUGAAUUUUCCUCAAAACUGGAUUGCAGUAACAACACUUGAAUCUCAAAUUUGGCACUAAAUCUACGGUGAGCACAUUUCAUUUUGCAUGUUUAUCAAAUUUCAUAUUUUGUAUUAUAAUGAUCAUUGAAAUGUUAUGAGGUAUUUUGAAAUAUGAUGUUUAACUUAAUUUGAGUCAUCAACGAGGUACAUUCUAGGCAAGUGCUGUAGGAUAAAUUCGUGUAUGAUAAUUCAGCCAAUAAGUUGUUUUAGUUUACGAAUAUUUGCCUGGUCUUUCAUUCGAUGAUAUGAAUUUUCGUAUUGAAUCAUACAAUCCAAUAAUAUUGGACGGUAUUUCCUUAGAAAUUGCGCCGACAUUCUAGUAAGGUGUGGAGAAGACACAAGUCAGCCAGUAUUCUCUAACCUCUGACUUAUUCACAUAUUUAGAAAACUGGAUCCAACCCAAACAUAUCUGAAUUUUUAUGUGUUAUAUUCUCGUAUCAAUGAAGCAAAUUGGGUUAGGUCUAAGCUCCCAAAAUCUGCUUUUUUAAAAAUUUUCACACAUUGAUUUUGGAAAAGUUCGUUAACGUAGCAAGAUUUGUGGCAUUAUACUGAAACGAAUAUUUCAAAGUUUUGAGUUUUUAUCGAUUGUAAUUUUUCAGAAAAUCUUUUUAUCUGUUCAUGUUUCAAAGAAAUUAUACAAACACUGAGAUUUCUUAGGCACGAAAAUUAUUUUUUAAAAAAAGUUUUGUUUAUUUUCAAAAGAAAAAAUAAAAAACUCUGGAUAUUUUGAAGUAGAUUUCUAAAGUGUACCAGAUUUAAUACAGGCAUUUUCCAUAGACAAGACAAAAAAUUUUAAGUAGUCAACAUCUUGCAGUUUAUUAGCCUCUGCCUUUCUGCUAAAAAGAUCAAGGCUUGCAGAUUGCCCUUUGUUGCUGUUGGUUGUUUGACGAUGUUGGUUGGUGUUGAUUGAGUGGUUGGUUGAUUGGGUGAUCGAGUGAUUCGUGAUUGGGAAGAUGCAUGCCCUGCCUCUUUUUGGUAGUGAAAGCAAAGGUCGAUUUUCUGCAAGAAAACACACGGGUUAAUUUUUUAACAGAAAGAAAUUCAGCAACUAACUCGAAAACUAGAAUGAAAAAACUGAAAAUGGUUUAUGUUACUUUAACUUUCGACAAUGCAAUCUUGUGGGCAUUCUACAACAUUUUCGAAUUCACAAAAAUGCAAAAUGAAGAACAAGAAUACCAUAGAAUUGAUAGCAUUUCAUUUAGAAUUCAGGUACAAAAUAUUUCAUAACAGAUUGUAACAUAUAAGAGCUAUUUAUGCUUUUAAAGAAAACUAUAUUUUUACGCUUGUAUUUUUAAUUUAACAUAGGGAAACGAUAUUUUUAAACGUUUUUACUUUGAUUUUUUACUGCUGUGUUUCUCAUAAGACUGCAAAGAUCGUGAAGUCUAGAAAAUUCCCAAGAGAAUUACCCACGCACGUGAAGCUCUGGAAAGGCAUGCCCGAGGAUGCCUAGAUUGUUACUGGGUCCCCAAUGGUACCAAAGCAUGCCUGUGAAUGUUGUCUCUGAGUAAACAAUAAGACUCUUGCGUUAGGCCACAAAGUUUUUUUCUGUGAUUAGGCCACAUCUUUGCAAAUUAUCUGUUCACUAUCUUUUUAAAAGAAUAUCACCAAAACACUUCGCAUUUUAAGUUUCCCAGCAAACCAAAACACCAAAAACUCGCGACAUGAAGUCAAACUUCUAGUUUUCCUGGCAUCUCAAAGCACGAGGGUAGAAUUUGACUUGCCUGGAGACCAAGGGUCUCUUGAGCCUUAAAGAAGCAAAGUGACACGAGAUUCCAUGCGUUUUCUUUCACUGCAGUUUUAGGGCAACCUGUAUUGUGUUAAGCUUGAUUUCUUUCAUCGCUCGAUCAUUCUUGAAGUAAACAAGUCAACUUUAGAAAGUUUUUUUGACAAAAUAAAGGACCGUUGAUGAGAAACUUUGCGUAGAUUUUGUCACACUGAAUUGUUUUCUUGGUGGAUCAUUUGCUUCGAUAUUGCUGGUAUUUCAAUCCUUCUUUCAGGCAAUCGACAUUGGAAGAGUGAACCACGUGUGCUAAAGACGAAUUUGAAGUCAAAGAGAUUAUGAAGAUUUAUGAACAAUUUAUAGAAAUUGGACUUGAAAUUGCAUAUUAUUAUGAUAGAAUACAAGUAGUUAUUUGCCGGUAUUUUCUCGCAAGACUGAAAUUUAUCGAUAGGAGUUGAGAUCCCCUUUACAAGAAUAUGGAAACAAGGAUCGACAGGUUUGUUCUGUAGAAAGGAAUUUUUUAUUCGAAAUUUACGAUCCUCAUAAAAGACUUUACCUUGCUUGUGUACCCAAUAAUGUCCUCCAUUAAACCAACCACCCCCCCCCCCCCCCCCCACAAGACGUUUUAACAGUUUUCGAUAAGGCUCAUUAGUUCAUCUUUGAUUUUAUCGAAUUUAAGACAGUUUGACAUGAUUAUUAAUUUCAGUUUUACUUAUUAUAUACCCCCUUGUUAACCGACGGAACCCUCCUUUUUUUACCUUUUCUAUCCUUAUUUUGUACCCCUUGUUAACCCAUGCACCCCUUCCCUUUAUUUGCCUAGGGCCUCUGUCAAUAGAUUGUUUGAUAGGCACCUCAAUAAGUAAGUAGCGUUCUCUAAGACGUUAUCAAUAUACUUUACCCGUUGAGUGAAACCCGGUUUUGCGAGAAAGUAACUUAGUUAUUCCGUCUAUUUAUUUGUAAACUAGGUUUGGGCUUAUCUUCUAAAUGGAUGUGAGCAAGGCGCCUGUUCUCGUCUGUUUUUAGGAUAAGCCCUUUCGUUUCUACUUAGAUUUGUUUGUAAUUGUAGUUUAAUUUUUUGUAUUUAGUUUGUAGUAUGCUUAGGAGACUGUUUUCCGUGUUGCGUUAGGGGUUAUGGCACGGCGUUUUAAUCGGGGAGUUACCAAGAGGGCCUUGUCCUUCUUGUUAACCCUUUGCUUAAAACGCCAUGUUUACAUAACCCCUAACUCAACAUUGAUAGGGUUUUCUUAGCACGGUGUUUUAAUCAGAGGGUUAACAAGGGGAACUUCUUUUUCCUCUUGUUAACCCUUUGCUUAAAACACCAUGCUAAGAAAAAUCCCUACUGAAAACAGUCUCCUCAGCACGUAGAGUAGACAUUAAAUUGUACGUAGAGUAAGAUCGCUUGAAUGAAGUAGAGAAAAUCAAACUGAAUUGUUUUCAACCCCCGUCUUUCUACUGCUGCAAACGAGGCUACUGAACCCCCGUCUUUUUGUAAAAUGAAAACGAGGCCAUGCGGGCAAAAUAGAGGCACUUGAUUGGCUACUAAACAAAAGAAAAACAAUAGAGAAAUAGCAUGCUCUGAUUGGUCAACUAACAAUAGAAUAAUUGAAAUAGCGAGUUCUGAUUGGUUGAAAAUACAAUAGAGCGGGGCCAAAAUAGCGUAAUCUGAUUGGUUAAUAAACAAUGGUGGCCCUCCGCGGCCAAGGGCUAGCUCAAAAUUGGUAUAUUUGUAGGUGACGGCUCCUGCCCGCAGCCACCAAAAGGGCUGAAAUGGAGCAAUCUGAUUGGUUAAAGACAAUGAGCUGUCAAUCAUUUGCGGCUCCAAGCCGCCUUUUGUUCAGCCACUGGUCGCGGCCAACUUUCUUGCCUGAAGACAAUGAAAAGCCGGGGGAC
This is a non-coding RNA of Rhopilema esculentum, 6013 nucleotides long. The record is from RefSeq and is a predicted model, not a curated record. NCBI's taxonomy places the organism in Eukaryota, Metazoa, Cnidaria, Scyphozoa, Rhizostomeae, Rhizostomatidae.